RNAcentral lists this transfer-messenger RNA (423 nucleotides) under Gammaproteobacteria (g-proteobacteria). RNAcentral's name for it is "Aquicella_A siphonis Standard tmRNA". It matches the Rfam family "transfer-messenger RNA". From Rfam's summary of the family: Bacterial tmRNA, also known as 10Sa RNA or SsrA, is named for its dual tRNA and mRNA-like properties. Its role is to liberate the mRNA from a stalled ribosome. To accomplish this part of the tmRNA is used as a reading frame that ends in a translation stop signal. Lineage: Bacteria; Pseudomonadati; Pseudomonadota. The record is from RNAcentral. RNAcentral also lists the same sequence under 1 other name.
GGGGGCGACCUGGUUUCGACGUGGAUUGCGAAGCUUGAGGCGCAUGCCGAGGAUGUAACAAAACCUCGUAAAAAACUGUUACAAACCAAAUAGUUGCCAACAAAAAACGCAACUUCGCUGUUAUCGCUAACGACCGCUUCUUCAACGAAGAAGUCGUUGCAAAAGCCGCCUAAACACCGGCACAGCGCCAUCCACCGAUUGUGCUUGUACGAUCGGAUGCUUGCGAAAGCAAGUGUAGGGUGGUCAUAGCAUACAAGCUCGCAGACUGAUAAGCCCGGGAUCAGGCUGCUAAAACUGACGGGAUCGCUGCCUGGACAUCCUUCCAGCCGGAGGUAGGGCAGCCAGAUGAAAUGACUGGAUAAGCAUGUAGACCCGAGAGUAGAGGAUUCGCGGACGCGGGUUCAAUUCCCGCCGCCUCCACCA